Molecule: ribosomal RNA, 337 nt
Filed under: Hepatozoon canis
Lineage: Eukaryota; Apicomplexa; Hepatozoidae
Description: SSU rRNA
Rfam family: Eukaryotic small subunit ribosomal RNA
Source: RNAcentral
CAGCUCCAAUAGCGUAUAUUAAAAUUGUUGCAGUUAAAAAGCUCGUAGUUGAAGUUCUGCUAAAAGUAACCGGUCUGCUUUUAAUAAAAGUGGUAUCUUGGUGUGUAUUUAGCAAUGAUGUCCUUUGAAGUGUUUUUUACUUUAUUGUAAUAAAGCAUAUUCAGGACUUUUACUUUGAGAAAAUUAGAGUGUUUCUAGCAGGCUGACGCUUUGAAUACUGCAGCAUGGAAUAAUAAGAUAGGAUUUUAGUUCUACAUUAUUGGUUUUAAGAGCUAAAUUAAUGAUUGAUAGGGACAGUUGGGGGCAUUUGUAUUUAACUGUCAGAGGUGAAAUUCUU